AGCAGCCGCGGUAAUUCCAGCUCCAAUAGCGUAUAUUAAAGUUGUUGCAGUUAAAAAGCUCGUAGUUGAAUUUCGGGAUCAAGGGAUCGGUCAUGCCUUGGUAUGUACUGGUUUUAUUGGUUCUCACCUUCUAAAGAACCAUAAUGUCAUUUAUUUGAUGUUAUGGGGAAUUAGGACUGUUACCUUGAAAAAUUAGAGUGUUUAAAGCAAGCUUACGCUUGAAUACAUUAGCAUGGAAUAAUGAAAUAGGACAUCAGAUUCUAUUUUGUUGGUUUCUAGGAUCGAUGUAAUGAUUAAUAGGGAUAGUUGGGGGCAUUAGUAUUCAAUUGUCAGAGGUGAAAUUCUUGGGUUUAUUGAAGACUAACUACUGCGAAAGCAUUUGCCAAGGAUGUUUUCAUUAAUCAAGAACGAAAGCUAGGGGAUCGAAGACGAUCAGAUACCGUCGUAGUCUUAACCAUAA
RNAcentral lists this ribosomal RNA (460 nucleotides) under uncultured Glomus. Its description in RNAcentral is "SSU rRNA". It matches the Rfam family "Eukaryotic small subunit ribosomal RNA", at positions 569 to 1035 of the family's 1831-position model. The record is from RNAcentral. Lineage: Eukaryota; Fungi; Glomeromycota; Glomeromycetes; Glomerales; Glomeraceae.